AACGAACGCUGGCGGCAUGCCUAACACAUGCAAGUCGAACGAGACCUUCGGGUCUAGGGGCGCCCGGGUGCGUAACGCGUGGGAACCUGCCCUUAGGUUCGGAAUAACUCUCCGACAGGGGUGCUAAUACCGGAUAAUGUCUUCGGCCCAAAGAUUUAUCGCCUUUGGAUGGGCCCGCGUUGGAUCAGCUAGUUGGUAGGGUAAAAGCCUACCAAGGCGGCGAUCCAUAGCUGGUCUGAGAGGACGAUCAGCAACACUGGGACUGGGACACGGCCCAGACUCCUCCGGGAGGCAGCAGUGGGGAAUAUGGGACACUGGGCGAAAGCCUGAUCCAGCAAUGCCGCGUGAGUGAGGAAGGCCUUAGGGUUGUAAAGCUCUUUUACCCGGGAUGAUAAUGACAGUACCGGGAGAAUAAGCUCCGGCUACCUCCGG
This 432-nucleotide ribosomal RNA is filed under the name uncultured bacterium. RNAcentral describes it as "partial 16S ribosomal RNA". It matches the Rfam family "Bacterial small subunit ribosomal RNA", at positions 29 to 506 of the family's 1533-position model. The record is from RNAcentral.